UCCCUGGUGGCUCAGAUGGUAAAGCAUCUGCCUACAGUGCAGGAGACCUGGGUUUGAUCCCUGGGUCGGGAA
This 72-nucleotide transfer RNA is filed under the name Bos taurus (domestic cattle). It matches the Rfam family "tRNA". From Rfam's summary of the family: Transfer RNA (tRNA) molecules are approximately 80 nucleotides in length. Their secondary structure includes four short double-helical elements and three loops (D, anti-codon, and T loops). The record is from Rfam by way of RNAcentral. RNAcentral also lists the same sequence under 1 other name. Lineage: Eukaryota; Metazoa; Chordata; Mammalia; Artiodactyla; Bovidae.